GUAGGGGAGCGAGCGUUGUUCGGAAUCAUUGGGCGUAAAGAGCGCGUAGGUGGUUUGGCAAGUCUGUUGUGAAAGCCCAUGGCUCAACUGUGGAACUGCGACGGAAACUGCCAGGCUAGAGUGCGGGAGAGGAAAGUGGAAUUCCCAGUGUAGAGGUGAAAUUCGUAGAUACUGGGAGGAACACCGGUGGCGAAGGCGGCUUUCUGGACCGCAACUGACGCUGAGGCGCGAAAGCUAGGGGAGCAAACGGGAUUAGAUACCCCGGUAGUCCUAGCCGUAAACGAUGGGCACUAGGUGUAGGGGGUAUCGACCCCUUCUGUGCCGCAGCUAACGCAUUAAGUGCCCCGCCUGGGGAGUACGGUCGCAAGACUA
This 372-nucleotide ribosomal RNA is filed under the name uncultured organism. Its description in RNAcentral is "partial 16S ribosomal RNA". It matches the Rfam family "Bacterial small subunit ribosomal RNA", at positions 526 to 896 of the family's 1533-position model. The record is from RNAcentral.